This is a long non-coding RNA of Hyaena hyaena (striped hyena), 352 nucleotides long. RefSeq lists it as uncharacterized. NCBI's taxonomy places the organism in Eukaryota, Metazoa, Chordata, Mammalia, Carnivora, Hyaenidae. The record is from RefSeq and is a predicted model, not a curated record. The transcript has 3 exons.
UUGGAUUUCUUUCAUGUGGUCUCUCAUCGUCUGGCAGCUUACCCUGGGCUUGUUCGCAUGAUGGUGAGGAUUCGAGACAUCAAGGGCAAUGAACAAGAUGACAUAGCCACAGGACUGACCCCAGAUCACUUCCAUCAUGUUCUAGUGGCUAAAGAAAUCCAAUUUUGUCAUGUUACUGGAAAUCCCGAGUGUGAUUAAGCUAACAUUUUGAAAUCUGAUUGGAGUAGAAGUUUUAACUCUCUUAAGAGAGAUACAGUUUCAGAUAUUUCAGGGCAAAGACUACUCUUAUUCAUUUUUAUUACUAAUAGCAUGGCUGAAAUAAAUUUGGUCCUCAUUAAAUACUCAAGUAAUU